This 72-nucleotide transfer RNA is filed under the name Hyphomicrobiales bacterium. Its description in RNAcentral is "tRNA-Gly". It matches the Rfam family "tRNA". From Rfam's summary of the family: Transfer RNA (tRNA) molecules are approximately 80 nucleotides in length. Their secondary structure includes four short double-helical elements and three loops (D, anti-codon, and T loops). The record is from RNAcentral. Lineage: Bacteria; Pseudomonadati; Pseudomonadota; Alphaproteobacteria; Hyphomicrobiales.
AGCGGGCGUAGCUCAGUGGUAGAGCACAACCUUGCCAAGGUUGGGUGUGAGUUCGAAUCUAUCGCCCGCUCC